This 510-nucleotide ribosomal RNA is filed under the name uncultured Paraglomus. RNAcentral's name for it is "SSU rRNA". It matches the Rfam family "Eukaryotic small subunit ribosomal RNA", at positions 569 to 1084 of the family's 1831-position model. The record is from RNAcentral. Lineage: Eukaryota; Fungi; Glomeromycota; Glomeromycetes; Paraglomerales; Paraglomeraceae.
AGCAGCCGCGGUAAUUCCAGCUCCAAUAGCGUAUAUUAAAGUUGUUGUGGUUAAAAAGCUCGUAGUUGAACCUUGGGCCUGGCUGGCCGGUCCGCCUCACCGCGUGUACUGGUCCGGCCGGGCCUUUCCCUCUGUGGAACCCCAUGCCCUUCACUGGGUGUGGCGGGGAAACAGGACUUUUACUGUGAAAAAAUUAGAGUGCUCCAGGCAGGCCUAUGCUCGAAUACAUUAGCAUGGAAUAAUAGAAUAGGACGUGUGGUUCUAUUUUGUUGGUUUCUAGGACCGCCGUAAUGAUUAAUAGGGACAGUCGGGGGCAUCAGUAUUCAAUUGUCAGAGGUGAAAUUCUUGGAUUUAUUGAAGACUAACUACUGCGAAAGCAUUUGCCAAGGAUGUUUUCAUUAAUCAGGAACGGAAGUUAGGGGAUCGAAGACGAUCAGAUACCGUCGUAGUCUUAACCAUAAACUAUGCCGACUAGGGAUCGGACGAUGUUAUAUUUUGACUUCGUUCGGC